UGGGGAAUAUUGGACAAUGGGCGCAAGCCUGAUCCAGCCAUGCCGCGUGUGUGAAGAAGGCCUUAUGGUUGUAAAGCACUUUAAGCGAGGAGGAGGCUACUUUAGUUAAUACCUAGAGAUAGUGGACGUUACUCGCAGAAUAAGCACCGGCUAACUCUGUGCCAGCAGCCGCGGUAAUACAGAGGGUGCAAGCGUUAAUCGGAUUUACUGGGCGUAAAGCGCGCGUAGGCGGCUAAUUAAGUCAAAUGUGAAAUCCCCGAGCUUAACUUGGGAAUUGCACUCGAUACUGGUUAGCUAGAGUGUGGGAGAGGAUGGUAGAAUUCCAGGUGUAGCGGUGAAAUGCGUAGAGAUCUGGAGGAAUACCGAUGGCGAAGGCAGCCAUCUGGCCUAACACUGACGCUGAGGUGCGAAAGCAUGGGGAGCAAACAGG
RNAcentral lists this ribosomal RNA (430 nucleotides) under Pseudomonadota bacterium. RNAcentral's name for it is "Proteobacteria bacterium partial 16S ribosomal RNA". It matches the Rfam family "Bacterial small subunit ribosomal RNA", at positions 355 to 776 of the family's 1533-position model. The record is from RNAcentral. Lineage: Bacteria; Pseudomonadati; Pseudomonadota.